UCAGUGUAUGUUUUAAUGUUCUUGAAAUUUUUCUUGGGAGAAAAAUUUGCUUUAUGGUACUAAUUAUCCCCUAUGUAUAUUCUCUUGUUUUACAGACUGAGAAAUUAGGAGAUACCUAUUACCUUUUAAAAAGAAAUGUAGUCCUUGCUGAUACUGGGAAAUAUAUCUGUGUUGCCAGCAAUGAAAUUGGAAAGGCCCACUGUUCUGCUUUCGUGACGGUGAUAGAGAAAAAUAAACCCCCCAACACUUCCAGUGUAACUCAGGCUAAACCAGAAUGUGAAGAUGGAUACUUUUCAGAAGAAGUGAAUGUCACCACAGCGGAGCUAGUACAAGCCCAGGACACACCAUGUGGGAGAGAAGAAAGGCCAGUGGCUAAAUGUACUCCAGUAAGGUUUAAAGAGAAACUUUGGUUUCAAGGAGUGCAUCUUGAACUUGACAGACCAUAAGAGAUUAACUUCAAUUUGAGGCAUGAUCCCAUUCUUCUGCCUGAUGCAGUGGAACAGAAGAUGGACUGAACUGCAAGAUGCCUGAUUCCUGAGCAUGUUUGUGGUGUUUGCUGUGUCCAUUAGUAGAGAUUGGCCAUGGGUGAGGAACAGAUGAAUUUUGGGUGCUAUCCAAGAUAUAUCUACAUUUUUAUUUUGUUUCUUUACAAAUAAAUCAUUAUUAAAAUUCACCUGUGCACAGCAUUUAUUAGACAGUGAUUUAUAAUUUCUUUUGGGUCUUCUCUGGAUUGUUGGACAAAUCUAACAGAAGGCGAUGAUGAAGAAAAGAAACAUUCUCCUUCAAAAUUGCAGAUCUCCUUGGUGAUUCACU
Long non-coding RNA from Taeniopygia guttata (zebra finch), 813 nucleotides. Lineage: Eukaryota; Metazoa; Chordata; Aves; Passeriformes; Estrildidae. The record is from Ensembl.